This 464-nucleotide ribosomal RNA is filed under the name uncultured bacterium. Its description in RNAcentral is "bacterial SSU rRNA". It matches the Rfam family "Bacterial small subunit ribosomal RNA", at positions 30 to 480 of the family's 1533-position model. The record is from RNAcentral.
AUUGAACGCUGGCGGCAUGCUUUACACAUGCAAGUCGAACGGCAGCACGGGGGCAACCCUGGUGGCGAGUGGCGAACGGGUGAGUAAUAUAUCGGAACGUACCCGGAAAUGGGGGAUAACGUAGCGAAAGUUACGCUAAUACCGCAUAUGCCCUAAGGGGGAAAGCGGGGGAUUCGCAAGAACCUCGCGUUUUCGGAGCGGCCGAUAUCGGAUUAGCUAGUAGGUGAGGUAAAGGCUCACCUAGGCGACGAUCCGUAGCUGGUCUGAGAGGACGACCAGCCACACUGGAACUGAGACACGGUCCAGACUCCUACGGGAGGCAGCAGUGGGGAAUUUUGGACAAUGGGCGCAAGCCUGAUCCAGCCAUGCCGCGUGAGUGAAGAAGGCCUUCGGGGUUGUUAAAGGACUCUUUUCGGUCCGGGGUAACGGAAAGUACGCGAUGGGCGUAAUACCCUACGUGUGGA